This 290-nucleotide ribosomal RNA is filed under the name Paenibacillus macquariensis. Its description in RNAcentral is "16S rRNA. Bacterial SSU". It matches the Rfam family "Bacterial small subunit ribosomal RNA", at positions 1 to 273 of the family's 1533-position model. The record is from RNAcentral. Lineage: Bacteria; Bacillati; Bacillota; Bacilli; Caryophanales; Paenibacillaceae.
AUAAUUUGGAGAGUUUGAUCCUGGCUCAGGACGAACGCUGGCGGCAUGCCUAAUACAUGCAAGUCGAGCGGAGUUGUUUUGAAAGCUUGCUUUCAAAACAACUUAGCGGCGGACGGGUGAGUAACACGUAGGUAACCUGCCUGUAAGACUGGGAUAACUACCGGAAACGGUAGCUAAUACCGGAUAAUUUGUUUCUUCUCAUGAAGAGACACUGAAAGGCGGAGUAAUCUGCCACUUAUAGAUGGGCCUGCGGCGCAUUAGCUAGUUGGUGAGGUAACGGCUCACCAAGG